GAUGAACGCUGGCGGCGUGCCUAAUACAUGCAAGUCGAGCGAACAGAUGAGGAGCUUGCUCCUCUGACGUUAGCGGCGGAAGGGUGAGUAACACGUGGAUAACCUACCUAUAAGACUGGGAUAACUUCGGGAAACCGGAGCUAAUACCGGAUAAUAUAUUGAACCGCAUGGUUCAAUAGUGAAAGACGGUUUUGCUGGCACUUAUAGAUGGAUCCGCGCCGCAUUAGCGAGUUGGUAAGGGAACGGCUUACCAAGGCAACGAUGCGUAGCCGACCUGAGAGGGUGGUCGGCCACACUGGAACUGAGACACGGUCCAGACUCCUACGGGAGGCAGCAGUAGGGAAUCUUCCGCAAUGGGCGAAAGCCUGACGGAGCAACGCCGCGUGAGUGAUGAAGGUCUUCGGAUCGUAAAACUCUGUUAUUAGGGAAGAACAAAUGUGUAAGUAACUAUGCACGUCUUGACGGUACCUAAUCAGAAAGCCACGGCUAACUACGUG
This 497-nucleotide ribosomal RNA is filed under the name uncultured bacterium. RNAcentral's name for it is "partial 16S ribosomal RNA". It matches the Rfam family "Bacterial small subunit ribosomal RNA", at positions 28 to 507 of the family's 1533-position model. The record is from RNAcentral.